Molecule: ribosomal RNA, 465 nt
Filed under: uncultured bacterium
Lineage: Bacteria
Description: partial 16S ribosomal RNA
Rfam family: Bacterial small subunit ribosomal RNA
Source: RNAcentral
GACGAACGCUGGCGGCGUGCUUAACACAUGCAAGUCGUACGGUAAGGCCCUUUCGGGGGUACCCGAGUGGCGAACGGGUGAGUAACACGUGAGUAACCUGCCCACAACUUUUGGAUAACGCUAGGAAACUGGUGCUAAUACUGGAUAUGUGCUCCUGCUGCAUGGUGGGGGUUGGAAAGCUCCGGGGGUUGUGGAUGGGCUCGCGGCCUAUCAGCUUGUUGGUGGGGUAGUGGGCUACCAAGGCGGCGACGGGUAGCCGGACUGGGAGGGUGACCGGCCACAUUGGGACUGAGAUACGGCAGAGACGCCGACGGGAGGCAGAAGGGGGGAAGAUUGCACAAGGGGCGCAAGCCGGAUGCAGAAACGCCGCGGGCGGGAUGACGGCCUUGGGGUUGUAAACAGCUUUCAGCAGGGACGAAGCUUUUUGUGACGGUACCUGCAGAAGAAGCACCGGCUAACUACGUG